Molecule: microRNA precursor, 71 nt
Filed under: Schmidtea mediterranea
Lineage: Eukaryota; Metazoa; Platyhelminthes; Tricladida; Dugesiidae
Description: Sme-Mir-2-o123_pre stem-loop
Source: RNAcentral
ACAUCAUUAUUUGACUGUCGAUAGAUAUUGGUAACAUUAUUUUGGUAGUAUCACAGCCAAAUUUGAUGUCC